CGGGAUGCUCCUUGAGCCCCUUCUCCGGCUGUUAACCUCCGGGGAACGGUUGUGACCACACCGACACGUAUUUUACAAAUAAAUCAUUCUUGCGGCGGCGGGUCGAACACGUUUAUUUAUUUUUGAUUUUCUCAACAAGCAUUUACCCAGCACCUGUCCAGUGAAACAACUUGAUAAGCGUUUCGAGGAGCGUCCGCCGGGUUAGGAGGCCACUGCCUGGCAGCUCGUGGAAGCCUCAUUUGCAACGCCCCACCUCAGAUGUUUUGAAGAUCGUGACGUCUUGUAACUAGCAUUGUGUGCACAGAAUCCUACUCAAGGAACGUCUUGGCCCAGCGAUGCAAAGAACUGAAAUUUCAAGGUUUUAUGUCUAUUGCUGGAUGGUCGGGGUAGCCCCAGUAACUGGGAACUGCUCCGCAGUCCGCUCACGUGGACCCCUGUGGGAAUAGCAAGCUGGAAGAGCCUGUAUUGUCCUCACAAUAGUAUAGAAGAAUUCAAGAGAGGAGAGAGAGACAGCACCGAAUGAAGACUGUAAAAGAAAAGAAGGGACGCCAAAGAUUGAGAAAAUCUGCCAAGACUAGGAGGGUAACCCAGAGGAAACCGUCUUCAGGGCCUGUUUGCUGGCUAUGCCUUCGAGAACCUGGGGAUCCCGAAAAAUUAGGGGAAUUUCUUCAGAAAGACAAUAUCAGCGUGCAUUAUUUCUGUCUUGUGAGUAUGAGGCCUCCUUUGCUUUGAAUAUCCUAUGGCUUUUGGUGUACUGACUGUUCUCUGUUACAUUCAUCCUCAGAUCCACAGUCUUGUUUUUUUGUUUUUCUUAAUAGCUUUUUUGUUUUAAAAUCUAUUUUUAGGCUGGGCGCAGUGGCUCACGCCUGUAAUCCCAGCACUUUGGGAGGCUGAGGCAGGAGGAUCUCUUGAACCCAGGAGUUCGAGACCAGCCUGGGCAACCUUGUCUCUACAAAAAAAUU
RNAcentral lists this small RNA (962 nucleotides) under Pongo abelii (Sumatran orangutan). RNAcentral describes it as "retained intron". The record is from RNAcentral. Lineage: Eukaryota; Metazoa; Chordata; Mammalia; Primates; Hominidae.